UACAUGUGGGGCAAGCGUUGUUCGGAAUCACUGGGCAUAAAGGGUGCGUAGGCGGUGGUGCACGUCCUGGGUGAAAUCCUUCGGCCCAACCGGAGGUCUGCCUGGGAUACGGCACUACUUGAGUGCGUGAGGGGUGACUGGAACGCGUGGUGUAGCGGUGAAAUGCGUAGAUAUCACGCGGAAGGCCAACGGCGAAGGCAAGUCACUGGUACGCAACUGACGCUGAGUGCACGAAAGCGUGGGGGAGCAAACAGGAUUAGAUACCCUGGUAGUCCACGCCGUAAACGAUGGGCACUAGAUCGUCGGGGCGCUAUGCCCUGACGGUCGCAGGCAAUUCGCUAAGUGCCCCGCCUGGGGAGUAUGGUCGCAAGGCUGAAACUC
RNAcentral lists this ribosomal RNA (381 nucleotides) under uncultured bacterium. RNAcentral describes it as "bacterial SSU rRNA". It matches the Rfam family "Bacterial small subunit ribosomal RNA", at positions 524 to 902 of the family's 1533-position model. The record is from RNAcentral.